GGGGGGGUGGCUGAAUGUGAAGCUGUGGGUUGUAGUUCCAUUGAUAGAGGUUAGAUUCCUCUCCCCUCCA
RNAcentral lists this transfer RNA (70 nucleotides) under Bothus myriaster (Indo-Pacific oval flounder). RNAcentral describes it as "tRNA-Tyr". It matches the Rfam family "tRNA". Rfam says of the family: Transfer RNA (tRNA) molecules are approximately 80 nucleotides in length. Their secondary structure includes four short double-helical elements and three loops (D, anti-codon, and T loops). The record is from RNAcentral. Lineage: Eukaryota; Metazoa; Chordata; Actinopteri; Pleuronectiformes; Bothidae.